GGAAAGAUGACCUAUGGAAAAAUUGGAGAGUGGAGAUUCGACAAAAGAUCAUAUGAUAAUACCUGGCCACCGAAGAACCUUUCUCUGCCUCCACCUGGUGUUCCAGAGAGCGUGGUUACUCUGGUAAAAAUGGUGAAUGAAGCUACAGCUAACAUCCCGAACUGGGGUUCUUAGAAGUGUGUUGUGAUUGAAGCUAUUCCACUCACGCAAGAUGUAUGAUGGGUUUGUAGUUUCUAUACCCAUGUUGCACACGAGAGAAUCUUGUUCCCUCCCAAUGAUCAUUGUUAGAAUAUUUGAGACUUUCUUGUAUGCAGUUCCAUGUGUCCUUUUUUUCUAUAUGUUCCAAACCUCUGUGUAUAGUUGCAAAUCUAUUCAUAUGCAG
RNAcentral lists this unclassified non-coding RNA (382 nucleotides) under Hevea brasiliensis (rubber tree). Lineage: Eukaryota; Viridiplantae; Streptophyta; Magnoliopsida; Malpighiales; Euphorbiaceae. The record is from RNAcentral.